ACACAUGCAAGUCGAGGGGCAGCAUGGUCUUAGCUUGCUAAGGCCGAUGGCGACCGGCGCACGGGUGAGUAACACGUAUCCAACCUGCCGUCUACUCUUGGACAGCCUUCUGAAAGGAAGAUUAAUACAAGAUGGCAUCAUGAGUCCGCAUGUUCACAUGAUUAAAGGUAUUCCGGUAGACGAUGGGGAUGCGUUCCAUUAGAUAGUAGGCGGGGUAACGGCCCACCUAGUCUUCGAUGGAUAGGGGUCCUGAGAGGAAGGUCCCCCACAUUGGAACUGAGACACGGUCCAAACUCCUACGGGAGGCAGCAGUGAGGAAUAUUGGUCAAUGGGCGAGAGCCUGAACCAGCCAAGUAGCGUGAAGGAUGACUGCCCUAUGGGUUGUAAACUUCUUUUAUAAAGGAAUAAAGUCGGGUAUGGAUACCCGUUUGCAUGUACUUUAUGAAUAAGGAUCGGCUAACUCCGUGCCAGCAGCCGCGGUAAUACGGAGGAUUCGAGCGUUAUCCGGAUUUAUUGGGUUUAAAGGGAGCGUAGAUGGAUGUUUAAGUCAGUUGUGAAAGUUUGCGGCUCAACCGUAAAAUUGCAGUUGAUACUGGAUAUCUUGAGUGCAGUUGAGGCAGGCGGAAUUCGUGGUGUAGCGGUGAAAUGCUUAGAUAUCACGAAGAACUCCGAUUGCGAAGGCAGCCUGCUAAGCUGCAACUGACAUUGAGGCUCGAAAGUGUGGGUAUCAAACAGGAUUAGAUACCCUGGUAGUCCACACGGUAAACGAUGAAUACUCGCUGUUUGCGAUAUACUGCAAGCGGCCAAGCGAAAGCGUUAAGUAUUCCACCUGGGGAGUACGCCGGCA
RNAcentral lists this ribosomal RNA (847 nucleotides) under uncultured bacterium. Its description in RNAcentral is "bacterial SSU rRNA". It matches the Rfam family "Bacterial small subunit ribosomal RNA", at positions 51 to 890 of the family's 1533-position model. The record is from RNAcentral.